Molecule: ribosomal RNA, 1550 nt
Filed under: Klebsiella variicola
Lineage: Bacteria; Pseudomonadati; Pseudomonadota; Gammaproteobacteria; Enterobacterales; Enterobacteriaceae
Also listed under: 3 other names
Description: bacterial SSU rRNA
Rfam family: Bacterial small subunit ribosomal RNA
Source: RNAcentral
AAAUUGAAGAGUUUGAUCAUGGCUCAGAUUGAACGCUGGCGGCAGGCCUAACACAUGCAAGUCGAGCGGUAGCACAGAGAGCUUGCUCUCGGGUGACGAGCGGCGGACGGGUGAGUAAUGUCUGGGAAACUGCCUGAUGGAGGGGGAUAACUACUGGAAACGGUAGCUAAUACCGCAUAACGUCGCAAGACCAAAGUGGGGGACCUUCGGGCCUCAUGCCAUCAGAUGUGCCCAGAUGGGAUUAGCUAGUAGGUGGGGUAACGGCUCACCUAGGCGACGAUCCCUAGCUGGUCUGAGAGGAUGACCAGCCACACUGGAACUGAGACACGGUCCAGACUCCUACGGGAGGCAGCAGUGGGGAAUAUUGCACAAUGGGCGCAAGCCUGAUGCAGCCAUGCCGCGUGUGUGAAGAAGGCCUUCGGGUUGUAAAGCACUUUCAGCGGGGAGGAAGGCGGUGAGGUUAAUAACCUCAUCGAUUGACGUUACCCGCAGAAGAAGCACCGGCUAACUCCGUGCCAGCAGCCGCGGUAAUACGGAGGGUGCAAGCGUUAAUCGGAAUUACUGGGCGUAAAGCGCACGCAGGCGGUCUGUCAAGUCGGAUGUGAAAUCCCCGGGCUCAACCUGGGAACUGCAUUCGAAACUGGCAGGCUAGAGUCUUGUAGAGGGGGGUAGAAUUCCAGGUGUAGCGGUGAAAUGCGUAGAGAUCUGGAGGAAUACCGGUGGCGAAGGCGGCCCCCUGGACAAAGACUGACGCUCAGGUGCGAAAGCGUGGGGAGCAAACAGGAUUAGAUACCCUGGUAGUCCACGCUGUAAACGAUGUCGAUUUGGAGGUUGUGCCCUUGAGGCGUGGCUUCCGGAGCUAACGCGUUAAAUCGACCGCCUGGGGAGUACGGCCGCAAGGUUAAAACUCAAAUGAAUUGACGGGGGCCCGCACAAGCGGUGGAGCAUGUGGUUUAAUUCGAUGCAACGCGAAGAACCUUACCUGGUCUUGACAUCCACAGAACUUAGCAGAGAUGCUUUGGUGCCUUCGGGAACUGUGAGACAGGUGCUGCAUGGCUGUCGUCAGCUCGUGUUGUGAAAUGUUGGGUUAAGUCCCGCAACGAGCGCAACCCUUAUCCUUUGUUGCCAGCGGUUAGGCCGGGAACUCAAAGGAGACUGCCAGUGAUAAACUGGAGGAAGGUGGGGAUGACGUCAAGUCAUCAUGGCCCUUACGACCAGGGCUACACACGUGCUACAAUGGCAUAUACAAAGAGAAGCGACCUCGCGAGAGCAAGCGGACCUCAUAAAGUAUGUCGUAGUCCGGAUUGGAGUCUGCAACUCGACUCCAUGAAGUCGGAAUCGCUAGUAAUCGUAGAUCAGAAUGCUACGGUGAAUACGUUCCCGGGCCUUGUACACACCGCCCGUCACACCAUGGGAGUGGGUUGCAAAAGAAGUAGGUAGCUUAACCUUCGGGAGGGCGCUUACCACUUUGUGAUUCAUGACUGGGGUGAAGUCGUAACAAGGUAACCGUAGGGGAACCUGCGGUUGGAUCACCUCCUUACCUUAAAGAA